GGGUGUCUGUCCCUGGUCCUUGUGUUGUGUCAGCAGCAGCACUCAUCCAGCUGUACAGCUGCACUGGGGACCGGAUCUGCCUCACUGCUGAGGAUGCAUCUCCAUGUGCUGACACAAAGCAUGGAGGACAGACAGGCAAUCAUUAAAAAUUUGACCACCUGCAACUGGAAAGACAUCAAUCAGAUCUCAUUUGGAUUGCCAUCCUUGGGCUUCUCCACUGCAACUCAGAGAGUCCUGGGGCCCCUGUGCCAUUCCUGCUUUGGGGACAUGGGCAGAAAAAAGGUGGUCUCUCUAUCAGACAGUUGGAUGAUGGCAGCACCCAACUUCAGCUGGAAGUGCUCAAACCCCGCAGCAAUGAGACUAAUAUUAAAAACCCUGAUAGUAUCAGGCACCACACUCCAUUAUAUCACGACUGCAUUUCCAUCUUCAUGCUCAGUCUUCUUAAAAAAGCUUGUGGAGAGCAGGGGCUCAUGACAGCUGGAAAGCCUACAUGCCACAGAGAGCCAAAGAUAUCUGACUGUGCAUAAUGGUGCUACCCAUAAGCUUGGCAUAGGUUUUGAUGAUGAAGUGCAAGGUAAGCCCACCCAAAGUGAUUCAUAUGAAUUGUUGGUCUGGAGAUCUAAAACCACAGAUCUCCCUCUUCUUGCUGGAGAAGAUUUUCUAGACAUACAUGCCU
This is a long non-coding RNA of Zonotrichia leucophrys gambelii, 676 nucleotides long. RefSeq lists it as uncharacterized. NCBI's taxonomy places the organism in Eukaryota, Metazoa, Chordata, Aves, Passeriformes, Passerellidae. The transcript has 4 exons. The record is from RefSeq and is a predicted model, not a curated record.